This 29-nucleotide unclassified non-coding RNA is filed under the name Dictyostelium discoideum. The record is from RNAcentral. Lineage: Eukaryota; Evosea; Eumycetozoa; Dictyosteliales; Dictyosteliaceae.
CUGAAAUCUUCUGAAAACGGUUGUUGGUU